This 746-nucleotide ribosomal RNA is filed under the name uncultured bacterium. RNAcentral's name for it is "bacterial SSU rRNA". It matches the Rfam family "Bacterial small subunit ribosomal RNA", at positions 8 to 737 of the family's 1533-position model. The record is from RNAcentral.
AGAGUUUGAUCCUGGCUCAGGACGAACGCUGGCGGCGUGCCUAAUACAUGCAAGUCGAGCGAACCAAUGGGAGCUUGCUCCCUGAGGUUAGCGGCGGACGGGUGAGUAACACGUGGGUAACCUGCCUGUAAGAUUGGGAUAACUCCGGGAAACCGGAGCUAAUACCGGAUAACAUUUCGAACCGCAUGGUUCGAAGUUGAAAGAUGGUUUCGGCUAUCACUUACAGAUGGACCCGCGGCGCAUUAGCUAGUUGGUGAGGUAACGGCUCACCAAGGCGACGAUGCGUAGCCGACCUGAGAGGGUGAUCGGCCACACUGGGACUGAGACACGGCCCAGACUCCUACGGGAGGCAGCAGUAGGGAAUCUUCCGCAAUGGACGAAAGUCUGACGGAGCAACGCCGCGUGAACGAUGAAGGUGUUCGGGUCGUAAAGUUCUGUUGUUAGGGAAGAACAAGUACCAGAGUAACUGCUGGUACCUUGACGGUACCUAACCAGAAAGCCACGGCUAACUACGUGCCAGCAGCCGCGGUAAUACGUAGGUGGCAAGCGUUGUCCGGAAUUAUUGGGCGUAAAGCGCGCGCAGGCGGUUUCUUAAGUCUGAUGUGAAAGCCCACGGCUCAACCGUGGAGGGUCAUUGGAAACUGGGGAACUUGAGUGCAGAAGAGGAGAGUGGAAUUCCACGUGUAGCGGUGAAAUGCGUAGAGAUGUGGAGGAACACCAGUGGCGAAGGCGACUCUCUGGUCUGU